UGGGGAAUAUUGGACAAUGGGCGCAAGCCUGAUCCAGCCAUGCCGCGUGAGUGAUGAAGGCCCUAGGGUUGUAAAGCUCUUUCACCGGUGAAGAUAAUGACGGUAACCGGAGAAGAAGCCCCGGCUAACCUCGUGCCAGCAGCCGCGGUAAUACGAAGGGGGCUAGCGUUGUUCGGAUUUACUGGGCGUAAAGCGCACGUAGGCGGACUAUUAAGUCAGGGGUGAAAUCCCGGGGCUCAACCCCGGAACUGCCUUUGAUACUGGUAGUCUUGAGUUCGGGAGAGGUGAGGGGAAUUCCGGGUGAAGAGGUGAAAUUCGUAGAUAUUAGGAGGAACACCAGUGGCGAAGGCGGCUCACUGGCUCGAUACUGGCGCUGAGGUGCGAAAGCGUGGGGAGCAAACAGG
This 404-nucleotide ribosomal RNA is filed under the name Actinomycetes bacterium. RNAcentral's name for it is "Actinobacteria bacterium partial 16S ribosomal RNA". It matches the Rfam family "Bacterial small subunit ribosomal RNA", at positions 355 to 776 of the family's 1533-position model. The record is from RNAcentral. Lineage: Bacteria; Bacillati; Actinomycetota; Actinomycetes.